RNAcentral lists this ribosomal RNA (449 nucleotides) under uncultured bacterium. RNAcentral's name for it is "partial 16S ribosomal RNA". It matches the Rfam family "Bacterial small subunit ribosomal RNA", at positions 28 to 523 of the family's 1533-position model. The record is from RNAcentral.
GAUGAACGCUGGCGGCGUGCCUAAUACAUGCAAGUCGAACGAGAUCUUCGGGUCUAGUGGCGCACGGGAGCGUAACGCGUGGGAAUCUGCCCUUUGGUUCGGAAUAACAGUUGGAAACGACUGCUAAUACCGGAUGAUGACGAAAGUCCAAAGAUUUAUCGCCAGAGGAUGAGCCCGCGUAGGAUUAGCUAGUUGGGGUGGUAAAGGCGCACCAAGGCGACGAUCCUUAGCUGGUCUGAGAGGAUGAUCAGCCACACUGGGACUGAGACACGGCCCAGACUCCUACGGGAGGCAGCAGUGGGGAAUAUUGGACAAUGGGCGAAAGCCUGAUCCAGCAAUGCCGCGUGAGUGAUGAAGGCCUUAGGGUUGUAAAGCUCUUUUACCCGGGAUGAUAGUGACAGUACCGGGAGAAUAAGCUCCGGCUAACUCCGUGCCAGCCGCCGCCGUAA